Molecule: ribosomal RNA, 447 nt
Filed under: Salmonella enterica
Lineage: Bacteria; Pseudomonadati; Pseudomonadota; Gammaproteobacteria; Enterobacterales; Enterobacteriaceae
Description: bacterial SSU rRNA
Rfam family: Bacterial small subunit ribosomal RNA
Source: RNAcentral
AAAUUGAAGAGUUUGAUCAUGGCUCAGAUUGAACGCUGGCGGCAGGCCUAACACAUGCAAGUCGAACGGUAGCACAGAGAGCUUGCUCUCGGGUGACGAGUGGCGGACGGGUGAGUAAUGUCUGGGAAACUGCCUGAUGGAGGGGGAUAACUACUGGAAACGGUGGCUAAUACCGCAUAACGUCGCAAGACCAAAGAGGGGGACCUUCGGGCCUCUUGCCAUCAGAUGUGCCCAGAUGGGAUUAGCUGGUUGGUGAGGUAACGGCUCACCAAGGCGACGAUCCCUAGCUGGUCUGAGAGGAUGACCAGCCACACUGGAACUGAGACACGGUCCAGACUCCUACGGGAGGCAGCAGUGGGGAAUAUUGCACAAUGGGCGCAAGCCUGAUGCAGCCAUGCCGCGUGUAUGAAGAAGGCCUUCGGGUUGUAAAGUACUUUCAGCGGGGAG